GACGAACGCUGGCGGCGCGCCUAACACAUGCAAGUCGAACGGAGCGUACUGCGUGAAGCCCUUCGGGGUAGAACUUUGUAUUGCUUAGUGGCGAACGGGUGAGUAACACGUGAGCAACCUACCCUAGAGUGGGGGACAACAUCUGGAAACGGAUGCUAAUACCGCAUAAGACCACGAGGUCACAUGACCUUGAGGCCAAAGGAUUUAUUCGCUUUAGGAUGGGCUCGCGCCUGAUUAGCUAGUUGGUAAGGUAAUGGCUUACCAAGGCAACGAUCAGUAGCCGGACUGAGAGGUCGAUCGGCCACAUUGGGACUGAGACACGGCCCAGACUCCUACGGGAGGCAGCAGUGGGGAAUAUUGCACAAUGGGGGAAACCCUGAUGCAGCGACGCCGCGUGGGUGAAGACGGCCUUCGGGUUGUAAAGCCCUGUUGACGGGGACGAUAAUGACGGUACCCGUUCAGAAAGCCACGGCUAACUACGUGCCAGCCGCCGCGGUAAUAC
RNAcentral lists this ribosomal RNA (502 nucleotides) under uncultured bacterium. Its description in RNAcentral is "bacterial SSU rRNA". It matches the Rfam family "Bacterial small subunit ribosomal RNA", at positions 28 to 526 of the family's 1533-position model. The record is from RNAcentral.